GGGGGCAACUCCUUCUGUCGAGUGGCGGACGGGUGAGUAACACGUGGGUAACCUGCCCGGAAGUGGGGAAUACCUCGGGGAAACUCGAGCUAAUUCCGCAUGACAUCUUCGGGACGAAAGUCCUGACGAUCAAAGCGGGGUCGCAAGACCUCGCGCUACCGGAUGGGCCCGCGCCCGAUUAGCUAGUUGGUGAGGUAACGGCUCACCAAGGCUUCGAUCGGUAACCGGCCUGAGAGGGCGAUCGGUCACACCGGAACUGAGACACGGUCCGGACUCCUACGGGAGGCAGCAGUGGGGAAUCUUGCGCAAUGGGCGAAAGCCUGACGCAGCAACGCCGCGUGGAGGAUGAAGGCCCUUGGGUUGUAAACUCCUGUCGGCUGGGAAGAAGUCAUACGGUGUUAAUACCACCGUGUGUUGACUGUACCAGCAAAGGAAGCCCCGGCUAACUCUGUGCCAGCAGCCGCGGUAAUACAGAGGGGGCCAGCGUUAUUCGGAAUUAUUGGGCGUAAAGGGCGCGUAGGCGGCCAUGCGUGUCUUCCGUGAAAUCCCUCGGCUUAACUGAGGACGUGCGGAAGAAACUGCAAGGCUCGAGUCCGGGAGAGGGGGGUGGAAUUCCCAGUGUAGCGGUGAAAUGCGUAGAUAUUGGGAGGAACACCGGUGGCGAAGGCGGCCCCCUGGACCGGUACUGACGCUGAGGCGCGAAAGCGUGGGUAGCAAACGGGAUUAGAUACCCCGGUAGUCCACGCCGUAAACGAUGGGCACUUGGUGUCGCGGGUAUCGACCCCUGCGGUGCCGAAGCUAACGCAUUAAGUG
Molecule: ribosomal RNA, 813 nt
Filed under: uncultured Acidobacteriota bacterium
Lineage: Bacteria; Pseudomonadati; Acidobacteriota
Description: bacterial SSU rRNA
Rfam family: Bacterial small subunit ribosomal RNA
Source: RNAcentral